Molecule: non-coding RNA, 119 nt
Organism: Phaseolus vulgaris (common bean)
Lineage: Eukaryota; Viridiplantae; Streptophyta; Magnoliopsida; Fabales; Fabaceae
Source: Rfam
AGGUGCGAUCAUACCAGCACUAAUGCACCGGAUCCCAUCUGAACUCCGCAGCUAAGCGUGCUUGGGCGAGAGUAGUACUAGGAUGGGUUACCUCCUGGGAAGUCCUCGUGUUACACUUC